RNAcentral lists this ribosomal RNA (253 nucleotides) under uncultured bacterium. Its description in RNAcentral is "partial 16S ribosomal RNA". It matches the Rfam family "Bacterial small subunit ribosomal RNA", at positions 524 to 776 of the family's 1533-position model. The record is from RNAcentral.
GACGAGGGAUCCUAGCGUUGCUCGGAAUUAUUGGGCGUAAAGCGGGUGUAGGUGGCUUGGUAAGUCAGAUGUGAAAGCCCUGGGCUUAACCCAGGAAGUGCAUUUGAUACUGCUAAGCUUGAGUGCGAGAGAGGUUAAUAGAAUACCUGGUGUAGUGGUGAAAUACGUAGAUAUCAGGUGGAACACCGGAGGCGAAGGCGGUUAACUGGCUCGACACUGACACUGAGACCCGAAAGUGCGGGGAUCAAACAGG